Molecule: unclassified non-coding RNA, 1108 nt
Filed under: Hevea brasiliensis (rubber tree)
Lineage: Eukaryota; Viridiplantae; Streptophyta; Magnoliopsida; Malpighiales; Euphorbiaceae
Source: RNAcentral
GCUGCAUGACAAAUAUAUGGCAUAUGUGACCGACAGUUUUGCAAAUAACUCUCUCUUUCACAAGGCUUUGAAAGAGGCAUUUGAGGUCUUCUGUAACAAAAUUGUUGCUGGCUGUUCUAGUGCAGAACUCCUUGCCUCUUAUUGUGAUAAUAUCCUUAAGAAGGGCGGGAGUGAGAAACUCAGUGAUGAUGCUAUUGAGGAGACAUUAGAUAAGGUGGUGAAGCUUCUUGCGUAUAUCAGUGACAAGGACCUUUUUGCUGAGUUCUACAGGAAGAAGCUUUCUCGGCGACUGCUUUUUGAUAAAAGUGCCAAUGAUGACCAUGAAAGGCUUAUCUUAACAAAGUUAAAGCAGCAGUGUGGUGGACAGUUUACGUCAAAGAUGGAGGGAAUGGUGACGGACUUGACUCUGGCGAAGGAAAAUCAGAGUCACUUUCAGGAAUAUCUCAGUAACAACUCGGCAGCUAAUCCCGGAAUUGAUUUGACUGUCACAGUUCUUACAACUGGCUUUUGGCCUAGUUAUAAAUCUUCUGAUCUGAGUCUCCCUGUGGAAAUGGUGAAGUGUGUAGAAGUCUUCAAGGAAUUUUAUCAGACGAAAACGAAACACAGGAAAUUGACCUGGAUUUAUUCACUGGGUACAUGCAAUAUCAAUGGCAAGUUUGAAUCAAAAACUAUUGAACUUAUUGUGGGAACUUACCAGGCUGCUGCUCUAUUACUGUUUAAUGCUUCAGAUAGAUUGAGUUACUCAGAUAUCAAAAGUCAGUUAAAUUUGGCUGAUGAUGACUUGAUCAGAUUGCUUCAAUCCCUGUCAUGUGCUAAGUAUAAAAUUCUGACCAAAGAGCCUAGCAAUAGAACUGUUUCGUCAACGGAUCAUUUUGAAUUCAACUCCAAGUUCACUGACAGAAUGAGGAGGAUUAGGAUCCCUUUGCCUCCGGUUGAUGAAAGGAAAAAAGUGGUUGAGGACGUUGACAAGGACAGACGUUAUGCAAUUGAUGCUUGUAUUGUGCGCAUUAUGAAGAGCCGGAAGGUGCUUCCUCAUCAGCAGCUCGUGUUGGAGUGUGUUGAGCAAUUGAGCCGCAUGUUUAAGCCUGAUUUCAAAGCAAUCAAAAAG